RNAcentral lists this transfer RNA (85 nucleotides) under Candidatus Altarchaeales archaeon. RNAcentral's name for it is "tRNA-Ser". It matches the Rfam family "tRNA". From Rfam's summary of the family: Transfer RNA (tRNA) molecules are approximately 80 nucleotides in length. Lineage: Archaea; Nanobdellati; Candidatus Altarchaeota; Candidatus Altarchaeia; Candidatus Altarchaeales. The record is from RNAcentral.
GCAGAGGUGGCGGAGCAUGGUUUAACGCGCGAGACUGCUAAUCUCGUGUCCAAAAGACGCUUGGGUUCAAAUCCCAACCUCUGCG